RNAcentral lists this ribosomal RNA (497 nucleotides) under uncultured bacterium. RNAcentral's name for it is "partial 16S ribosomal RNA". It matches the Rfam family "Bacterial small subunit ribosomal RNA", at positions 28 to 507 of the family's 1533-position model. The record is from RNAcentral.
GAUGAACGCUGGCGGCGUGCCUAAUACAUGCAAGUCGAGCGAACAGACGAGGAGCUUGCUCCUCUGACGUUAGCGGCGGACGGGUGAGUAACACGUGGAUAACCUACCUAUAAGACUGGGAUAACUUCGGGAAACCGGAGCUAAUACCGGAUAAUAUAUUGAACCGCAUGGUUCAAUAGUGAAAGACGGUUUUGCUGUCACUUAUAGAUGGAUCCGCGCCGCAUUAGCUAGUUGGUAAGGUAACAGCUUACCAAGGCAACGAUGCGUAGCCGACCUGAGAGGGUGAUCGGCCACACUGGAACUGAGACACGGUCCAGACUCCUACGGGAGGCAGCAGUGGGGAAUCUUCCGCAAUGGGCGAAAGCCUGACGGAGCAACGCCGCGUGAGUGAUGAAGGUCUUCGGAUCGUAAAACUCUGUUAUUAGGGAAGAACAAAUGUGUAAGUAACUAUGCACGUCUUGACGGUACCUAAUCAGAAAGCCACGGCUAACUACGUG